Molecule: ribosomal RNA, 254 nt
Filed under: uncultured prokaryote
Description: partial 16S ribosomal RNA
Rfam family: Bacterial small subunit ribosomal RNA
Source: RNAcentral
UACGGAGGAUGCAAGCGUUAUCCGGAUUCAUUGGGUUUAAAGGGUGCGUAGGCGGACUAUUAAGUCAGUGGUGAAAUUUUGCAGCUUAACUGUAACAGUGCCGUUGAUACUGGGGAGCUAGGAUUUGGUUGCUGUGGGUGGAAUGUGUGGUGUAGCGGUGAAAUGCUUAGAGAUCACACAGAAUAUCGAUUGCGAAGGCAGCUCACAAAGCCAAGAUUGACGCUGAGGCACGAAAGUGUGGGGAUCAAACAGGA